GUUUUUAUUAUUAGAGCCCUCACAGCUAAUACCUUCGCAGACAAGGUGAAGGAGAUGAUGAGCCACUAUUUUGUUUGGGUUUUUCUAGUGCUUUUUUUUUCCAAUUUAUAAUGACUAUAGAACUUAGCAGUUAACCAUCUGUAUGGUAUGAAGCCAUUGUAAACUCCUCGACUUCUGUUUAUCAUGCAUGAUUCAUUGCUCAUUUGGAUCUAUGUUCAAUCAUUGAUUCAAGCUUUGUUAUUAUUGAGGCUUUUUUUUUCAGACUUGUCCAUAUUUUGUAUUCCCAUGUGAUUGCUUAAAUUGCAAGUCAUUUUGUUUUCUACAUUUCUUGCUUAUAUUUGGAGCAGUACUUUUCCAGUGCUAUUUAAGGAGAGAUUAUAUGUCAUGUUUCUGUUUAGUGCAUUUCUUGAUGCUUGUUUGAUUUCUUGAAUGUGUGCAAUAAUAUUUGUGUCAGCUGACCUCUUUGUUGUUGCUAUGUGAUAAGGCUCUAUUACAUUUCCUUGAUCCAGAGAAAUUCAAGAAUAAAGAUGAUUUUGUUGAAAAAUAUAAGAAUCUAAGCUCCUUCAAUGACAUUGAGCUUGCUAAUCUUCACAAGGAAUUGAGGUCUCACAUUCUUCGAAGAGUUAUCAAGGAUGUAGAGAAGUCUUUGCCUCCAAAAAUUGAGCAUAUCCUCCAGGUUAAAAUGUCUCCCCUUCAGAAACAGUAUUACAAGUGGAUUUUAGAACGUAACUUUCACAACCUAAACAAAGGAGUUUGCUGAAAUCAGGU
Long non-coding RNA from Magnolia sinica, 768 nucleotides. RefSeq lists it as uncharacterized. Lineage: Eukaryota; Viridiplantae; Streptophyta; Magnoliopsida; Magnoliales; Magnoliaceae. The record is from RefSeq and is a predicted model, not a curated record. The transcript is spliced from 3 exons.